Molecule: ribosomal RNA, 1333 nt
Filed under: Parastacus brasiliensis
Lineage: Eukaryota; Metazoa; Arthropoda; Malacostraca; Decapoda; Parastacidae
Description: 16S ribosomal RNA
Rfam family: Archaeal large subunit ribosomal RNA (bases 568-1333)
Source: RNAcentral
GAGUAAGGAAGUUUACUCGGACAAAAUUAAGAAAAAUAUUUUGAAUUUUAAGUAAAGAAGGAAAAAAGUCUAGAGUUAUAGUUUAUAGUACUGUGAAGGAAGAUUGAAAUAGGGCUAAAAUAAAAUAACGGAAAAGUAAAAAUAUAAUUUUGUACCUUGUGUAUUAGGGGCGUUUUAUAUAAAAUAAAUAUUUUAAGUCUCCCGAAAGAAAGAGAGCUAGGAUAUAAAAAAGGUUUUUGUUGCAAUAAAUUCUGUAAUUUUAUUUUAGUAGUGAAAUAUUAGUCGAGUUUUCUUAUAUCUGGUUCUUUCAAAAAUAAAUUGAAUUUAGCUCCAUUUACUGGGGAGUGAAGGAAGUUGGGACAGGAGGGUAGAGCUUCUUGUUUAAUAUUUUACCUACGGGGAUAGAAAGGGCUUCUAAUUGAACUGGGCUUAGAAAUAGCCGUGUUAAUAAAAUGUUAUAGUUAAAGUUUUUAAGUUAAAAAAUUUUUUAUUCCUUAAGAAUAAUAUGAGGGAUUGUUUAGUAUUUACCAAUAAAUAUUUAUAAUGAAUGUAUUAGUAUAUAAUGAUGGGCAACCUUAUUGUAAAAUACAAAAAAAUUGUAUAAAAUAGGAGUCUUAAUCAAAGGAACUCGGCAAAAAUUACUUCCGCCUGUUUAACAAAAACAUGUCUGUAUGAAAGUUUUAUAGAGUCUGGCCUGCCCGCUGAUAAUUGAAGGGCCGCGGUAUAGUGACCGUGCAAAGGUAGCAUAAUCAUUAGUCUUUUAAUUGAAGGCUUGUAUGAAUGGUCGAACGAGGGGUAGACUGUCUCUGCUAAGAAAUUUGAAUUUAACUUUUAAGUGAAAGGGCUUAAAUAGUCUAAAGGGACGAUAAGACCCUAUAAAGCUUCACAUUAAGUCUUUAAAAUUUUAAUUAAGUAAUAAAAUUUUAUUAAAUGCAAUAUGUUUUGUUGGGGCGACAGGAGUAUAAGAAAUUUAACUGCUCUAAAUAAUAAGUCAAAGAUACUUGAUCUUUGGGGACUUUUUAUUAAAGUGUUAGAUUAAGUUACUUUAGGGAUAACAGCGUAAUUUUUUUCAAGAGUUCUUAUCGACAAAAAAAUUUGCGACCUCGAUGUUGAAUUAAAGAUUCUCUAUGGUGCAGAAAUUAUAGGAGAGAGUCUGUUCGACUCUUAAUUCUUUACAUGAUUUGAGUUCAAACCGGUGUGAACCAGGUUGGUUUCUAUCUUUUAGAAUAGAGUAAAAUUACCUUAGUACGAAAGGAUUAGGUUGUUGAAAUAAUUUUAUUAGCCUGUAUUAGCAAAUAUGCGUUGAGAUAAUUCAACUUUCGGAUUACAGGCU